RNA transcript from Neodiprion fabricii, 2766 nucleotides. It is a transcript of the gene named protein O-mannosyl-transferase 2, with no coding region annotated. Lineage: Eukaryota; Metazoa; Arthropoda; Insecta; Hymenoptera; Diprionidae. The record is from RefSeq and is a predicted model, not a curated record. The transcript is spliced from 17 exons.
AUGCGCUGGCCAUCUGGCGACCUUGGUGUCUAUAUUCUUCAGUCAACGGUGCAUGUAACGGCCGCAACGGGUGCAGCCAGCCUGAAGGUGGGAGAAGUGGUUCUUAGAUAUUUGCAUCGGCAAAACACCUCAGAAUACCAGUUACAGUUAGUUUUGCGUCGCAAGUGUUGUAACCUACUGGUGUUACGUACGUACUACGAACACCGAUUGAGCUUGGAGAUGGUUGAAGAGAUAAGUAGCAAAUCUGUAAAAACCGCUAAAAUAGUGCCAAAAUUCAAACAAACAGGUGAAACUAACAUCAUGAAGACGGUCGAAGACAAACCCCUUAUCUGGUGGCUGAUUUUUAUAUUAAUAUUGAUUGCAACUGUUACUACUCGAUUUUACAAAGUAACAGAGCCUGAUCAUGUAUGCUGGGAUGAAACUCAUUUUGGUAAAAUGGGCAGUUGGUACAUAAACAGGACUUUCUUCUUUGAUGUGCAUCCACCACUAGGAAAAAUGCUUAUUGGUUUAUCCGGGUAUCUAACUGGCUACAAUGGUUCAUUUCCAUUUGAGAAACCUGGUGACAAGUAUGAAGAUACAAAAUAUAUAGGAAUGAGAGUAUUCUGCACAAUGUUGGGUGCAACUAUCGUCCCAUUAGCAUUCCUUACUGUUUGGGAAUUGACGCAGUCUUUGCCUUCAUCUGUUUAUGCUGCUACUUUUAUUCUAUGUGAUGUUGGUCUGCUUACACUGAAUCAAUACAUUCUUCUGGAUCCAAUUCUAUUGUGUUUUAUGAUGUGUGCAUUAUGGGGAAUGUCCCGUAUCGGCUCAUUGCAGCAUCAACCAUUUACAUUCUCUUGGUGGGGUUGGAUGUCAUUUACUGGCAUGGCGCUUGCAUGUUCCAUAAGUGUUAAAUUUGUUGGUCUCUUUAUUGUCCUGUUGGUUGGACUCUACACGUUGCAUGAAUUGUGGAGAGAAUUAGGCGACCUUUCAAAGCCUGUCAUGAAUGCAGUUAAACAUCUGUUAGCUAGAACCCUUUGUCUCAUAGUGUUACCAGUAAUUGUGUACGUGCUGUUUUUUUACAUCCACCUGGUUGUUUUAAAUAAAAGUGGCAAUGGAGAUGGUUUCUAUAGUUCCGGAUUUCAGUCACAGCUGGAAGGAAAUUCUUUGCACAAUGCAACAAUGCCUCGGCAUUUGGCAUACGGUGCUAUCAUAACACUUAAAAACCAUCGCACCGGAGGAGGUUAUUUGCAUUCACAUUGGCAUUUGUAUCCAGAAGGAAUGGGAGCUCGUCAACAACAGAUAACUACGUAUUCACACAAAGACGACAAUAACCGUUGGUUGGUGAAGAAAUUCGAUACGAAUGUCUUACCACCAGAUAAUGUACUAGUAAAACACGGUGACUUAAUCCGACUAGAGCAUAUAGUGACUCGCCGAAAUUUACACUCACACAAAGAAGUAGCCCCCAUUUCAAAAAAACAUUACCAGGUUACUGGAUAUGGAGAGAAUGGUACUGGAGAUGCAAAUGACGUUUGGAAAGUAUUGAUCGUAAAUGGAAAAGAAGAUGAUAUUGUAGAAACAGUAACAAGCAAGCUGAAAUUCGUUCAUUAUCUUCAUCACUGCGCACUUACGAGUAGUGGAAAAACAUUACCCAAAUGGGCAUAUAGUCAACAGGAAGUUUCUUGCAAUCCGAACAUGCGAGAUAAAAACUCUAUGUGGAAUAUUGAGGAUAACAUUUUUGCCAAAUUGCCAAAUGUCAGUUUCCAAGUAUACGCACCUGGUUUUCUGGAAAGAUUUCUUGAAUCACACGCAGUUAUGUUGCAAGGUAAUUCGGAUUUGAAGCCCAAGGAGGGAGAAGUUACCUCAAGACCAUGGCAAUGGCCUAUCAACUAUAGGACACACGCUACAGAGAAAAAGGGUCAAUUCUUUUCGGGGAGUAAAAAUCGUAUUUAUCUACUCGGAAAUCCGAUUAUAUGGUGGGGAAACAUAGUAUUUUUAAUUUUCUUCUCUCUCGCAUAUCUAUUCGCCUCUGUGCAAGAACAGCGAGGAUAUCUGCAGGAUCCUGAUAUUUUAUAUCGAAGAAGGAGAACACUCGAGGCUGGCAUGUGGAUGUUUACUGGAUGGCUCUUACAUUACGUUCCAUUUUGGGCUAUGGGACGUAUACUCUACUUCCAUCAUUACUUCCCUGCUUUAUUGUUCAGCUGCAUGCUGACCGGAAUAACAUUGAACUACAUUUUGGAAACUAUACCCACGUUCGUUCCUGGCAUGAUUGGGCAUACUAUUUAUCAUUCCACAGUGGGGCUAGUAUUGUCUGGAACAGUAUAUAGGUUCAAUAGAUGGUAGCAGACCAUACCGGUAGCCUUGAAUCGGUCAGCAUCUACCUCGAUUUGUGUAUGUGUGAUGUGCACCAUGCUUAUUCUUACUUGAGCGAGGAUUGAUGUGUUGAAACUGUGUGUAUAGAAAAGCACGCACACACACACAUUGGUAAUGUACUUAUCUUUUACUUGUUUUCUCCAUUGGCUUACGGCAUGGACGGACCAUCAGCCUCCCAUCCUGAAAGUCCAUUAUAUCCACUCCGCUGGAUGGAUUCCUGGGAGUUUUAGUUUAUGCUAUAAGUAUUCACAUAGCAACCAGACUUUCACUCAGUCGAGGUCUCGUAAAGGCUGAUAUUAUACAGUGUUAAGAUCAUUAUAUUUUUUAUGUACGAAUCUUUCUUACUAAAUAUUUUAUCAUUUUUAUAUGUACGUAUAAUAUGUUGAAGAAAUGAAGAAAUGUAAUAUUAUUAAUAUU